RNAcentral lists this ribosomal RNA (1792 nucleotides) under marine metagenome. Its description in RNAcentral is "SSU rRNA". It matches the Rfam family "Eukaryotic small subunit ribosomal RNA". The record is from RNAcentral.
UCUGGUUGAUCCUGCCAGUAGUCAUAUACUUGUCUUAAAGAUUAAGCCAUGCAUGUAUCAGUUAUUUCAUUAGAAGACAUAAGAUUGCGAAUGGUUUAGUAUAACAGUUACGAUAUAUUUGAAUGAUUUUUUCUGUGGAUAACUGCGGCAAUUCCUCAGCUAAUACAUGAUGCAAUAUAUAUUCAUAUAUGUUGUCUAUAUCGCUAUUAUUUUUUAUUAAAUUAAAAUGUAGAUUCAUUAUUGAUGAUUCUUAGUUAUAUUUGCUUACAGAUUGCUACACGAGUGGCAAUUCAUUUAAGUUUUUGACCCAUCAGUUGAUUAGUUGUGUCUUGAUCAAUUGAGGCAUUAACGGGUAACAGAGAAUUAGAGUUCUAUUCCGGAGAGUGAGUCUGAGAAAUAGCUACCACAUCUAAGGAAGGCAGCAGGCACGAAAAUUACCCAAUUUUGAUUAAUAGAGAUAGCGACAAGAAAUCACAAUAUUAUGCCAUAUGGUUAAACAAUUGAAGUGUGAAAAAUAUAAAAAAUUGGAUAAUAAGCUAGUGGAGGGCAAGUCUGGUGCCAGCAGCCGCGGUAAUUCCAGCUCCAAUAGUUUAUGCUAACAAUGUUGCAAUUAAAAAGUUCAUAGCCGAACUUUUCAGAUAUUCAAUUUUAAGUAACCUCAAAAAAUUAUAAAGAAGUCGAUUUAUCUUGAUAUAUAUAUAUAUAUUUACUCUAUUGACAUUUAUUUUUUGAUAGCGAUAAAUGUUAGUUUAACUUUGAAAAAAUGGGAGUGCUCUAAGCAAUUAUUCGUUAUGUUUAUAAAGUAUGGAAUGAUAAGUAAUGAUGAUGGCUCGUUUUGAUUGGUUUGAGAGGUUGAUGUAAUGAUUUAUAGAGUGUUUUGGAGGUAUUAGUAUUUUGUCAUUAGAAGUGAAAUUUUUGGAUUGAGAGAAGACAAACAACAGCAAAAGCAGUUGCUUAGGAUAUAUUCCUUGGUCAAGAACGUAAGUUGUGGGAUCAAAGAUGAUCAGAUACCGUCGUAGUCUCAACUAUAAACAAUAUCAAUUAGGGAUUAGUGAUUGUAUCUAUAAUAUUGUUAGAACCUUAAGAGAAAUCAAAGUGUAUGGAUUCCGGGGGGAGUAUGGUUGCAAGGCUGAAACUUAAAGGAAUUGACGGAAGGGCACUACAAGAUGUGUAUUUUGUGGCUUAAUUUGACUCAACACAGGAAAACUUAUCAGGUCUAGACAUAGGAAUUAUUGACAGAUUGAUAGCUCUUUCUUAAUUUUGUGGGUUGUGGUGCAUGGCCGUUUUUAGUUGGUGGAGUGAUUUGUCUGGUUAAUUCCGAUAACGAACGAGACUACUAACUAUUAAUUUGCGUGAUAAUUAGAUUAAUUUUUUGCUUCUUUGAAAAACUAGUUUUGCAUAAAAAGCUGGAAGUUGGUAGCAAUAACAGGUCUGUAAUGCCCUUAGACGUACUGAGCAGCGCACGGGCUACUAUAGGAGAAUUACUAUGUUUACUAUAUUAAUUCGAAAAGAGUCAAGAAAUCAUAAAACUAUUUUAUAGUUGGGCUUACACUUUUAAAUUUUUAUGUAUAAACCAGGAAUAUCUAGUAAGUCUAGUUCAUUAACGUUGUUUGAAUGCGUCUCUGCCUUUUGUACACACCGCCCGUCGCUCCUACCGAUCGGAUAAGCUAGUGAUUUAAUUGGAUGAAGUGGUAACUUACUUAUAUAUAACAUUGCGGUUAAGAUUUGCAAACUAGAUUAUUCAGAGGAAGGAGAAGUCGUAACAAGGUUUCCGUAGGAGAAUCUACAGAAG